AUCCAUUUCAUUUAGCAAAUAGUGUUGGUCCCAGGAAAAAGCACCAAGCCUGGGAAUCCCUGCCACAAUGACAGAAUCACAUUCAACAGCUGCUUCCAGCAUAGGAUGCAAUCCCCGCCGCCAGCAUCCCUCCCACCUCCAGAAAUAGUAAACAUCUGCCAAGAGAGAGCCCCAUUAGUAAAAUUCCCACCUUCUAAGGGUCAUCGAUUGGCUUUCUUCUGAGCUUCCUGCCUGCUUCCCUCAUCUCUGCAGCCUGUUAGAGCCUGCCACGACCGCGUGGGCAACCCCUAGCUGCAGUUUCUUUCCUCUUCUCUGCCCUCAGCACUUUCCCCUCCAGGAGCACAACUCUGAGCUGUCAUUCCUGUCAACCAGAUGGGAGAUCAGCCACAAAGCUGCUCCGCCUCUCGCAAGGACAGGAACUCUUGUGGCAGGCAGGCUUUCGGGGCGGCUCCAAGAGGGAGUGAGUGAGUCUGGGCCUCUUAGUCGCUGUGGUCAUGCUUCACUGCAGCCAGCGUGGAGCAGGAUGCUGACAGCAGAGUGGCUCCAGUGAGCUGCCAUUCCAGAUGUCAGGAACAAGCUCACAGACUGAGUGAAGCCGAGAAGGAUUGCAAACACCAGUGAGAAAGGGCUGGGAGACAACAGUGACGGAGAAGAGGAGCAGGCUUUCAGGCGAUAAGGUGGCUGUGAACUGAAGUCUUCAAUCAACACAACUGAGCUGAGACUCCUCUAGAAGAGAGCUAUCAGGGUCCUGACAGACAGCUGGUGAGGUGCAGAAUGACAUGAGUGAGGGGCUUGGCGCUGACGUGAAGGUUGAGGAGGCAGUCACCGGAACCCCACGCAGGCUAGAGCUGUGACCGACAGAAACGACGAUGUGUGUUCCUAGAGGCUUAGGCAGUGCCAGAGAAAUCACUCAGUGCCAGCUGGCUCCUGCAUGAAUGCUUCUCUAGACAAGCUGACCUUUGCUACUUAGUAGGGUGUACGUUGCCUCUAAGCCCAUUUCCAAUUUACUGACACCUGGUGGAUUUUUAUUCACCACUGAGCUCUGGCCCGAAGAGAGCUGCCAAACGUCCUAGGCCAUCCAUUCACUCAGCACUUAUAAUCGUGAUAGUCACCACCCAUGAAAGCUUUAGGACCUGUUUCAGUGUUUCUGCAUCGUGUCGCCUGAGGGCUUUCUUCUGUGACCAGAAACUGCUCUGCCCCCAAGCAGCACUGGCCUGGAACUGGAGAAUUAAAGACCUCCCUAAUCCCACACGCAAACUUUGAUGUGAUUGGCAUAUAAGUAUCUUAGCACCCUAGUAUCAUGAGUUACAUGGCGCUGAGGCACAUAUUCCACGCUGGGCCCAGCACUUCCCAGAGGGACUGAGUCCCAGGGUGGCAUCUCACUUGGUGAUGUGCCUUGUACUGGUUACCUUCCCUUCCCAUGUCAGCUCACUCUUCUACUGGCGUGUGCUGGAAUCACCUCCCAAACCAACUAUUUAAAUCUUUGCUUCUGGAGAGACCCCAACUAAAAUAAUAUGUAUUUGCUCUAAGUAGUUUGAUACAGAGCAGAUAAUGAAAAACAGGAGCUGACAAUUAUAAAGUGGAAUUCUUGAGCAAGUGGUAAGCUCCAUUUCUUAGCCUUCUACACCCUCCUCCUCACAACACCAGAGUCAAGAAUUCCUGUCUCCUAAGGAAAUGUCUCUUAUGGCUUGGGUGGAUGCUGUUGUAGGGGUAUGAAACAAGCCAGUUCCCUUAGCCAGUGAGUAUGCACUGGCUGUUUAGAAUGUGCCCAACAGGCGCCAGCCUCUGGAGAGGUCAUUAAUAGCCUCGGGCAUGGUCCCUGCCUCAAGUUGGAGAGUUAGGGCUCAUGAAGUAAGGAGCAAUACAUUUCCAGCCCGUGCUGUUUGACAGCAGUACUUUUCAACACUCGGCCACAUGUGCUGAAGCCUGCUGGUGUCUGCCCAGGUCCCCUCGACUGGAGGGGACCCUGUGCCCCCUCUAGAGCAUUGAUGAGUAACUCACAGCUGUCUCUCCAGAGAGUCAUCCUUGGCCAAACCUUCAUGUGGGCAGCUACCACCCACCACACCAGCCCCUCUUCCAGAUCAGACCUCAGCAAACCUGACUGGCCUAGGGAUACAGAAGACCAGCCUCUUGCGUCCACGUGGGACCAAGUCUGCAGUGUGACUUGUGCUCCAGAACUCUCCCACAGGCUCAGCCUGAAGUCAGGCUCCAGCGAAGCCCAUCCCUGCCUGGCUUCUCUCCACAGUCCUAUUCUGCUGCCCUGACUCCUCUUCCCUAAGGGCUAUUGCCCAGCGAAGCCCAUGGUCUCAGACUGGGCUUCAAAGAAACCUGACUCCAUGUUAGCAUCUUCUGCGGAGUUUUAUAAAAACACAUACACCUGAACUUAACCACCUAGACUUACUGAGCCAGAAGCUAUAGAGCUUCAAGAGUGGGAACCAGACAACUGUAUGCUUUAAAGCCUAAUAGAUAUUUCUAAUUCACCAGUUUAUCUCUCAACUUUUCAUUUUGAAAAUGCCAAACUUACAGAAAUAAUGAAAGUAUAAUGUAGUGAUAAAUAUCUACAUACUCAGCAUCUAGAUAUACCAAUUAUUAAUAUUUUGCUCCAUUUUCCUCUCUCUCUCUCACAUAUCAAAAAUAAUUUGCAAGUAAAUUGUAGACAUUAUGACACUUUAUCCUUCAGUUCUUCAGCAGAUAUUAUCCAAGAAUAAAGACAUUCUCCUACAUAACCCCAGUGUCAUAAUCACCCACAGGAAAUUAAUACUAACUUGUUAACAUCCCCAGAGCAUACAGUCCAUAGUUAAGAUGUACCCUCUGUUUUAGGCCAAAGGUGGCAAUUUUCUCAACUUUAGACUCAACAGAAGUUUGGAGAAGGGAAAAAUCUGUAUGAGUUGAAUAGAAAGGAAAAUACUUCAUGGAGGAAAGAGGAUAAGAAUUGGGCUGUGAAGGAUUGACAUUAGAAAGAAGGGGUGGAGCAAAUGCUCAGAUAGAAGCAGGUAAAUACCUAUGCAAACAUGCAGACAUGGGCAUUGGAAUUGCCUUUUGUGGGAGGAGAAGACUGAGCAGAAUUUGUGGACUAGGAUAGGUAGGCUGUGCAGCUGGACAGGCCUCAUGCAAUCUGAGUACAGAGAAAUUGCCAAUCCAAGCAAUCAAAAAAACAGUGGCCACACACCAAGAAACGUUAAAGGUGACUGCACUUAGGAGAGUGGCAUCAGAUUUGUGGGACACAUUCAGGUGAAUUCUAGUCAGGACCAUGGCAAAGCAUUUGGGGUCAGAAUUAAACUGGGGAGUUAAUUACUGAUUGAAAUUCAUUUAUUCAUAUAUUCGUUCUACCAGCAUUUUCUGAGUACAUAUUAUGUGCCAAAAUACCAAUGUGAACACAGGAAAUAAAGCACUGAAAAAACAGACAAGGUCCUUGCUUUCAUGAAACUUAGGUAGGGGUGUGUGUGUGUGUGCGCGUGUGUGUGUGUGUUGGUUGAGUGGG
RNAcentral lists this long non-coding RNA (3481 nucleotides) under Homo sapiens (human). Its description in RNAcentral is "HSALNT0183581". Lineage: Eukaryota; Metazoa; Chordata; Mammalia; Primates; Hominidae. The record is from RNAcentral.